UGGGGGAUAUUGCACAAUGGGCGAAAGCCUGAUGCAGCGACGCCGCGUGGGGGAUGAAGGCCUUCGGGUUGUAAACUUCUUUUGCUCUGAACAAGGCGCACCAUGGGGUGUGUUGAGUGUAGGGGUUGAUUAGCGCCGGCUAACUACGUGCCAGCAGCCGCGGUAAUACGUGGGGCGCGAGCGUUGUCCGGAAUUAUUGGGCGUAAAGGGCUUGUAGGUGGCUGGUUGCGUCUGUCGUGAAAGCUCAUGGCUUAACUGUGGGUUUGCGGUGGGUACGGGCUGGCUUGAGUGCAGUAGGGGAGGCUGGAAUUCCUGGUGUAGCGGUGGAAUGCGCAGAUAUCAGGAGGAAUACCGGUGACGAAGGCGGGUCUCUGGGCUGUUACUGACACUGAGGAGCGAAAGCAUGGGGAGCGAACAGG
Molecule: ribosomal RNA, 419 nt
Filed under: bacterium
Lineage: Bacteria
Description: partial 16S ribosomal RNA
Rfam family: Bacterial small subunit ribosomal RNA
Source: RNAcentral